GUGGCGCUCUCCCAGCUGCCCUCACAAGAAUGGAAACAAAGGAUGUAGAAGACGAGCUAACAUGGAGCAGAGAAACAAUCCCAAGAGUCAUGAAGAUAGUCAGCACGAGACUCCCUCAAAGAGACCUUGUGUCUCUUCUGCUUGUUAGCCCUUGGCUCCACCGCACUCUCAUCUCUUAUCUCUCUCUCUGGCUGGUUCUUGAUUUUCGUGAGAUGAAUAAGGCUGGAGAUAGACUUAUAAGGGCUCUUUCACUGUCAAGAUACCAGCAUGUGAAGCAGAUUAACCUUGAAUUUGCACAAGAUAUUGAAGACAGACAUCUUGAAGUCCUUCAAAACAAGGUAUGUGGCAUUAAUGUUGACAAAUUAGAUUGCUCUUACUUCAUAUAUAAACAGCUAGGUGAAUCUAGGUUCCUUGAGUGCUUGAAGUUUAAAUAUUAAAGGUUUUAUGCUUAAUUUCAUCCUCUAUAUUUAUAAGCCAGGGAGAAACUAACAAGCAUAAGUACAGAAAAUAUCAGGAUAACUCAUCCCAAGAGCUGGACUAAACAGGAGUGACUCAGGAUGAUGGCCUUAUCUAGAAAUUUUUGAUAAGUGGACUGAACUUGUUAUUUUGUAGUGCCAAAUGCAGAGAUAUCCUCGUUGUCACUGUAGCAUACAAUAGAUUUAGAAGCGUAACUAGGGGAAGGAAAAUGAGUAGAAACAAAAAUGUGGCAUCCUUGUGGCUAUUUCUUGCAAUAUUGGUAAGUCAGCUUGUAAGUGUCACCUAGUUAUCAUAAUAUUGACACGCUGAUAAAAGUUUAGGCUGAAACAUUUCAAGCAUACAGAAAACAACAUAGGCGAGUUGCCUUUGAGUUUUCAAAUUACUCAACAUUUAUUAAUGCAUAGAAGAUCUAUGGCCCCAAAAUUUACUUCUGAAACAGCGAUUUUAAUAGAGGAAUUUUACCUUGAUUUUGAUUGUUGCAUCUAAAAAUUUUUAUCCCAGUUUACUUUAUACAAUUUGAAAUUGUUUAAAUGCUUUUGCUGUCUCUGAAGAUUAUAGUGAUGAAAUUUAAGCAUUUCAGUCUAUCAUUUCUCUUCAAAGCUUGGAGUCGUUAAAUUUGAAUGGCUGCCAGAAGAUCUCUGACAAGGGAAUAGAAGCUAUAACCAGUGCUUGUCCAAAACUGAAGGUCUUCUCUAUUUAUUGGAAUGUGAGGUACUUGAAGAUUUACAAGAUUUGCAUAUUAGUAGUUCAAAUAAAUCAGUAGAGCUAAACUUCUUUCAUUGCUAAGAAGUUCACAUGUGGAUUGAGCUUCAGGGUGACAGAUGUUGGUAUAAAGUAUUUGGUGGAGAAUUGCAAACAUGUAGUUGAUUUGAACUUGAGUGGCUGUAAGGUACUUGAUCACCAACUUAAUGCUGGUUAUCUGUUGUCCCAUUUGCAGUAUACCAUGCAGGAGUAUGGAGAAAAUCAAAAUGUAUUUGAGUGCAGGCUUUGAGCAAUAUCCUUAUAAUUAAAAUGUACCAUACACAGAUGAUGUAAUUAUAUAAUUUUUAAAUUCUUGGUAGAAAAUAAUAGGAAAAAGGAGAUAACACGUAAGCAAGUGUAGAUAGUUGAAAAUUCACUUUGUUUCCUACAACUGAAUUAGGCAAAUGAUAAAUUUUCUUUCCUUUUUUUUUAUUUUUGUUUUUUGUUAUGCAGAAUAUAUCAGACAAAAGUUUGCAAUUAGUUGCUGACAACUAUCAAGACUUAGAGUCAUUGAAUCUGACUAGGUGCAUCAAGCUAACAGAUGGUGGUUUGCAACAAAUAUUGGUCAAGUGCUGCUCUCUCCAGAGUUUAAAUCUUUAUGCCCUUUCCACCUUCACUGACAAAGCUUACAAGAAAAUAUCAAAUCUAGCCCAUCUACAAUUUUUAGAUUUAUGUGGUGCCCAGAAUCUCUCUGAUGACGGACUUUCUUGUAUAGCUAAAUGCAAAAAUCUUGUCUCACUAAAUUUGACAUGGUGUGUUCAAGUCACUGAUGUGGGGGUUAUAGCAAUUGCUGAAGGUUGCACCUCUCUUGAGUUUCUUAGCUUGUUUGGAAUUGUUGGUGUGACUGACAAGUGCCUGGAGGCACUUUCAAAGUUCUGCUCAACUACAAUUACAACCCUUGAUGUAAAUGGAUGCAUUGGCAUAAAGGUAUCCAACUAUUUCUUGUUGCAAAGGGCUUCUGACCAUCUGUUGUAUAUUGUUUAUUUGCAAGCUAAUAGUUGCCAGGUCUUUAUUUUAGAUCAGAACUGAAAACCCCAGUGACCCCCUUGGCCCCCGAAUAGGGGGAAAAAAAAGAGAUUUUCCUGCUCCUCUUUUACUUUGACUAUGCUGAGUAUGAACUGCCAAGAAUUAUAUUGAUCACAAGGUCAAUGGGAAAAAUGCUGAUUGUUUAUUUGAAAUGGCUAAAUCUUGUAUUCAUGCAAUUCAAAUACAAUAAUAAAGUUGAUCCCAGUGAUGCAGUUUCUUCCAACUGCCUAAUACAGUCAUUGUAUUCUUGCUAUGUUAUAUGCCAUAUUCUUUUUCGAUCACCUUUUUCCUUCCACAUUUUGUUAUAAUGUGUUGUAGAUAAUGAAAUUCCUGGUUUUGGUCAAUUCUACAACUUAAUUUUGAUACACAUACACUGGAGUAAUCCAUCACCAAAUCAUGCAAGGUGAUUUGCUAAAUAUUUUUGUAAUGGAAUUUUGUCAUUUCAAUUGCUAGUUCUACUACUUGGUUGCUUAAAGAUUAGAAAAUAUGAAUAACAAAAGAUUUGGGUGGCAAGAGUAAUUGAGCUAGGGGAUAGCAAAAGAUAUUUGAUGAGAUGCUAUGACAGAUUUUUUAUGAAGUUGCUUAACAUUGUAUUAAAGUGAGUCUACAUGUGCAGUGCGUUACUGUAGGCACAAAAACUUGUUCAGAGUUUCAUCAGUGAAAAGUCUGAAACGAUUUCAUUUUUGAGUCCUUGUCUUUUUUUUUUAAUCACUUUCUUAAGUCUAUUUAUUUCUUCCAUUCGUUCCCCUUAUAUUUCAAUCAGUUUGUGGAGUACAAAUUUUUCUUGCAGAAACGGAGCCGGGAAGAAUUGCUUCAGUUGUUUCCUCAUCUGAAGUGUUUCAAAGUACACAGCUGAUACUCUGGAAAUUUGCAUGUGGCUAUAUCCUCACAUAAAGGUGUGUUUCCUUGUAAUAAAUUGGAUUUUCUGUAUGCCAUCUGCAAGCCACAGAGAUGCCAUGCAAAAUGGUAACAAUAAAUCCACUUGAGUUUUUUCCUUUUUUUUAUUUUUUUUAUUUUGGGUGAGACACUAUGAGUUGGAUUAAUGAUAAAAAAUUGCAAACACAUGUGUGAACCUCUGCAUAUUUUACAAUUAUGUCAAAUUCUUGUAUUUUUAUUAAGGUCAUAAAUUUCAUUUAGUGUUACAAUUUUAUCCUCUGUCAACGUUUAAAAUAGAGAUGAUGUGGUAUGCAACGACAACUAAACCUUAAUUCCAAACU
This 3461-nucleotide unclassified non-coding RNA is filed under the name Hevea brasiliensis (rubber tree). The record is from RNAcentral. Lineage: Eukaryota; Viridiplantae; Streptophyta; Magnoliopsida; Malpighiales; Euphorbiaceae.